ACGGAGGAUGCGAGCGUUAUCCGGAUUCAUUGGGUUUAAAGGGUACGUAGGUGGCCCGGUAAGUCAGUGGUGAAAACCUGCCGCUUAACGGUAGGCGUGCCAUUGAUACUGUCGGGCUUGAGUGCAGUUGAGGCAGGCGGAAUGUGUAGUGUAGCGGUGAAAUGCAUAGAUAUUACACAGAACUCCGAUUGCGAAGGCAGCUUGCUAAAGUGCAACUGACGCUGAUGUUCGAAAGCGUGUGUAGCGAACAG
RNAcentral lists this ribosomal RNA (251 nucleotides) under uncultured prokaryote. Its description in RNAcentral is "partial 16S rRNA". It matches the Rfam family "Bacterial small subunit ribosomal RNA", at positions 525 to 775 of the family's 1533-position model. The record is from RNAcentral.